AGCUUGGAUUUUUUGGUUAAACUUUUGGUUAAAUUAUUUAGCCCCCUUCCCUGUUUGUUAGCACGUGUAGAGUGGUACCAUGCCGGAUGUUUUCCUGUUUAAUUCACUACCAUAGUCUUCAUCCUAGCAGCAACAGUGAGCUCACUACAACCUCUCAUAUACAACCAAGUGAAAUCACGGUCAACUCGCGAUUAAUUUCUAACGCGUUUAAUGUUUCAAAUUAACCUAACAGAAAUUAUUAAACACGUUAAGUUUGACAGCACUAAAUGGCACGAUCAUUUUCGUAAUCAUGAUACACACUAAUGUUGAG
Molecule: long non-coding RNA, 310 nt
Organism: Sander lucioperca (pikeperch)
Lineage: Eukaryota; Metazoa; Chordata; Actinopteri; Perciformes; Percidae
Exons: 3
Source: RefSeq, a predicted model, not a curated record